CGGGUAAGGGACUGGUUGUGGUUAUGAAAGGUAUUAGCACCCCUAACACACCCUACCUGAGGUAAGCUGCUUCGUGACUUUGAUGUGUUAAAGAAGUUUUAAUAAUUGUCUUUUCAUUGGAUAUUAGAAAUACAACUUACAUGUAAGUUAAUAAUUCUUAACCGUGAUCCAAUCAAAAUAUUAAAUUUUUCUUUAAUCUUUGCACGAUGAAGUUCUAUAUCUGCUCCUGUUUUCUAGCUCAGGUCUGGCUUUUCUGCCUACUACAGUGUUUCGGUGCUGAAACUGGUGGGGUAAAUUUUCAUAUCAUCUGAAACAUUUACAUCCCCUCUUGCAUUCCCCACUUGCAGAGCCACAAACGAGUUUUUAUAGAGAGAGCUCUGCCUCGUCAAAGUUCGAUGACUGUUCAUGUUUUCAGACUAGGUCUGACUCUUCGGCCUACUCCAGUGUUUCAGUGCUGAAACUGAUGAGACAAAUUUUUGUAGCGUAUGAAAGUACUGCAUCCCCUCUUGCAUUCCCCACUUGCAGAUCCACAAACAAAUCUCUACAGAGAGAGCUCUGCCACGUCAAAGUUCAGUGUCUAAUCAUGUUAAACUGGAAUUGAGCUCACAGUGGGGGUAACUUCAGAUAAGGCUAAUGCACCAUGCACAGAAGGCUAGCAGUUAUUUGGUGCCAUUUAGAAGAUAUGGAGGUGAUGAACAAUUAACAGGGCAACUGACCAAGAACAAAAGUUGUCAUUAGUUGAUGACUGAAGGCAUUGCUGCGGUUAUUCAUGACUGAAAAGAAGAGGUGCAACUUCCAUCAGACGUGGACAAACAAUGUUCCCACAGAAGAUCAUGCAGACAUUCUCUUUCCAUUUGAUGCUCAACACUUGUUCAGGGAGAUCUGAGUCUAGCUACUUCACCUUUGAUGCUCUCAACUUUCCUUUGACAAUGAGCUUCUCUUUGACCCCUUUCUUCAUUUCCCAUCAUCUUUGUUCAAUCAGGUGUAGCAAAGCUCGGAUGGGGGAACCUAUUUUUCCUCCCGGUACAUGCAUGAUAAAUGUAUGAACAUGUAAACUAUAUGAUGAACUCGCCCUUCGAGGGGUGACAUAUGGUCGUAACUCUUGUAUGAUGAAACAAGAAUCUUGAUUCUUGCCCAAACUCUACAAUGAAAAUUUUCUGAGUGACGGCCAUUGUGUCACCCACAAGUCUUGAGUUCAAGAUGCUUCAAGAAGGGUUUGCUCUGAUGCAAAUAACGAUAGCACAUACAACCUAAGGACAUGUUCUAUUCAUUAUGUGAACAUGGGUAGGUUUUCUACCUGGUCUCAAACGGGUCUCAUAUCUGCCCAGUGACGUUCUUCGUAAAGACAGUAUAGGGGCGUUGCAGGAAAUGGUUAAGGUACGUAUACCCACCAUUACCAAGCAGGCACUCAGAUAUGAGUUUGGUUUUUCACGCAUCUGAACCCUGACCAAUAGUCAUAAGGCAGAUCGCUAAUUCACCACCUAGCUUAGAAGCUUGUGUGUGCUUUCAAAAAUAAAUACAGGUGAUGCAUGAAACGAUUCUAAAAAUGCAUGGAUAAAAUAAAAAUAAAACAAUAUAAAACUGCAAAAACUUAAAUACAUCAAAUACACAAAGCUUAGUCCAAUAUUGUUAGAAACAGUACCUUCCCCAGUGGAGUCGCCAUUCUGUCGCACGUCUAAAAAUCCGCGCGGCGUCGGCUUGGCAAUUUUUCUGUUAUGCGUUGAUUUGAUUGGUUCGUUGGAGUCGCCACCUAGUAUUUAAUUAAAGGUUCCUAGGAAACCUGGAUAUACUGGUCUUGUUAGAGAUUCGCGGGUAAGGGACUGGUUGUGGUUAGGAAAGGUAUUAGCACCCCUAACACACCCUACCUGAGGUAAGCUGCUUCGUGACUUUGAUGUGUUAAAGAAGUUUUAAUAAUUGUCUUUUCAUCGGAUAUUAGAAAUACAACUUACAUGUAAGUUAAUAAUUCUUAACCGUGAUCCAAUCAAAAUAUUAAAUUCUUCUUUAAUCUUUGCAAUUUUAUCUUAAAUAAAAAUAAAACAUCCAUAAAACAAAUACAAACACACACAUUCACUUUCACUAUAUUUUCUUUUCUUUCUCUUUUUUCUUUUUCUUUUCUUUUUUAUCUCCAUAUUACAAAUUAUAAAAAUUCAAAACUAAACAAAAAAACAUUAAACAAUUUAAAAUUACAAAAAUUAGCCUCAAAAUAAUCUGAGAUUACAGGGAUUGCCAUCUGCCAACCGGAACAGUGUUCAGCAGGGUUUAUGGGCGCGGAAACAGUGGUUCGUGUGGCCACUUACGGCGCGUGGGUCAAACCAGAACAAACUAGUGGAUCCGACUCGACUUCAUCUCCUCUUCCCUCCUACACUGGCAGUGAGGAGCAACAUCACCUGCAAAGAAGAAAAAGAUGCAAUCCAGUUGGUUUUAGCUUUUCUUCUUGGUCACGGAUCUACUUUUUUUUUUCUCUGUUUUGGAUCUGCUUUGUUCUUGGUUUCGCCUUCUUCUCUGCUUCGUUGUUCUCUGCUGGUUGCAGCUCCGGCCGUCGAUUCUCGGUUGGAAAUGGGGCCGCUUCUGUGGGCGCCGCUGGAGGAAGAAGGACUGCUGUUGGCCGGUGAAGAAGCUGGAAGGCGGAGGCUUGCUUCUGUGGAGGCUGUCGCUGCUGAGGAGAUGAUGGGGACGGCUCUGUGGUGGAGGAACUCGGCUGCUGUUAUGGGGUUCUCCAGGUGUGGCUGGCGGCUGGAAGGGAAAUGGGGCUGCUGUGAUUUGGCCGGGGUGGGAGGCCGAUGGAAGGGAACAGCUGGGAUGGAGAGGGACGUCACUGCUGCUGUUCAGCCGCUGCUGGGGCCGAAUGGAGGAGAGACCUGGCGAUGGAAAUGAGAGAGUGAGGGGAUCCUGUUCUGUCAAAGAGAGGGGCGAGUGAAAGGGAGAUGGGGGAAUGCAGAGGAGGCUGCUCUGGUUUGGGAAAAGAAGCUGGAAAUGAGGGCUGUCUGUUGAUGACCGGGCUGUGGGAGAAGGAAGGAAAAUGAGUGCUGGUCUUGGGAGAUGUGGAAACGGUGGGUGUUGUCUGUGAAGGGGAGGCUGGUCUGGGUGUGUGGGGGCUGUGGCUGAGGGGAAGGAACGGUGAUCAAGGGGGAGGGGGCUGGACUAUGGCCGGCUGUCACUGGUUGAGGGAGAAGAGAAAAAUCAGCAAAAAGGGGUAGGGAGGCUGGCGGCGGCUGUUUUGGGUGAGGGAGAUGAGAGUUAAGUUUUUUAGGGUUUUCCCCUUUUGUGUUGCCUCCCCCCAAAUUGUAAAAUGCCCCCCCUCUUUAAAAAAUCAGUGUAGCUUGGUAUUUAUAGGAAAAGUUUUGCUAGGUUUUCAAACUAGUCCCUCAACUUUUCCUUUCCUUCUCUUUUCCUCUUUUUUUUUGUAAAUUUUGAGUUUUCUUAUUUUUUUGUAUUUUUGAAAGCGAGCAAAUAUCAACAUCGACUCAAUGAAGAAAAUCAAUGAUUUUUAAAAAUAACGCGUUAAAAGUUGAACGCGUUCCAAAUGUCUUUGAAACUUUAAAUUCUUUUGAGACGAUGCUAAAAACGAUGCAAAUGUAUUAAAAAUGUAUUUUUUGGAUUUCAAUGUUUUUCGCUAUUUUUGGAUUUUUCUGAAAAUUUAUCAAAACAUGGGUCAGAAAUUGGGUAGCAACAGAUGCCCCCUCUUUACAAUGCUUACGAAGCAAAACUCCUCAAUGUUUCGCAUAGUAAGCUUUGUAAAGAAAAACUCUAAAUGUUUCUUUCUUUUUUUCCUUCUUUCCUUCUUUCUCUCUUCUUCUUUCUUUCUCUCCUUUUCUUUUUUCUUUCCUUUUUUUUUUUUUACCUGAGAUCCCAUCAGGCGAUCUUCUUAAACCAAAACCAAAAUCUGCGUGGUUGGGCUAACCUGAGAUCUCGUCCGGCGAUCCCCUUUAACCAGAACCAAUAUCCUGUGUGUGGUUGGGCUAACCUGAGAUCCCGUCCGGCGAUCCCCUUUAACCAGAACCAAUAUCCUGUGUGUGGUUGGGCUAACCUGAGAUCCCGUCCGGCGAUCCCCUUUAACCAGAACCAACAUCUGUGUGGUUGGGCUAACCUGAGAUCCCAUCCGGCGAUCCCCUUUAACCAGAACCAACAUGAGAUCCCAUCUGGCGACCUCAUUAAAGUGGAACUAAAAAAUGUGUGUAGCUCGGUCAACCUGAAAUCCCAUCUGGCGAUUCCCUUUAACCAAAGCUACAUGAGAUCCCAUCUGGCGACCUCAUUAAAGUGGAACUAAAAAAUGUGUGUAGCUCGGUCAACCUGAAAUCCCAUCUGGCGAUUCCCUUUAACCAAAGCUACAUGAGAUUCCAUCUGGCAACCUCAUUCAACUGGAACUAAAAAAUGUGUGGUAGCUCGGUCAACCUGAAAUCCCAUCUGGCGAUUCCCUUUAACCAAAGCUACAUGAGAUCCCAUAUGGCGACCUCAUUCAACUGGAACUUAAAAAAAUAUGUGGUAGCUCGGUCAACCUGAAAUCCCAUCUGGCGAUUCCCUUUAACCAAAGCUACAUGAGAUCCCAUCUGGCGACCUCAUUAAACCAAAACUAAAAGAUGUUACGUAACUCGGUCAACCUGAAAUCCCAUCUGGCGAUUUCCUUUAACCAAAGCUACAUGAGAUCCCAUCUGGCGACCUCAUUAAACCAAAAUAAAGAAUAUGUGUAACAAAAUGGUCUCAUUGUAAUGGGUGACCUACCCAGGUGGAAAGAAUAUGAAAAACGGUCUCAUUAUGAUGGGUGACCAACCCAAAUGGAAAGAAUGUGAAGUGCAGUCUCAUUAUAAUGGGUGACCUACCCAGAUGGAAGAUGAGAAAAAUGUGAAGUGGUCUCAUUGUUAUGGGUGACCUACCCAGGUGGAAGAUAGCAAAAAAUGUGAAGUGGUCGCGUUAUAAUGGGUGACCUACCCAGGUGGAAGAUAGAAAAAAUGUGAAGUGGUCGCGUUAUAAUGGGUGACCUACCCAGGUGGAAGAUAGAAAAAAUGUGAAGUGGUCGCGUUGUUAUGGGUGACCUACCCAGGUGGAAGAUAGAAAAAAUGUAAAGUGGUCUCAUUGUAAUGGGUGACCUACCCAGAUGGAGGAUAGAAAAAAUAUGAAGUGGUCUCAUUGUUAUGGGUGACCUACCCAGAUGGAGGAUGUGAUGUGACAAGUGAAAAAUGGGACUUACCUGGCGAAGUCUUGAAGGGAUGAUAGAAGAAGGGCCGGAAAACUUGGUGCUUCUUGAUAAUUCUUGAUCGCAGGGUUUGAAAACUCGAUGCUUCUUGAUUGCAAGGUUGAUCUUUUCAUUUCUUUGAGAUUUUCCUAACAGUAAGGUUUAUCUCAUCUUCUUCCCGUUUCAAGGUCACAACCAUGAUUCUCUGUUAUUAUCAGCUCAAUGAUUCUCCCUUCUUUUUUCUCUUUUUUUUCUUUUUUUGGUCCCCAAUCUUGUUGAACUACAUUGAGGAUUUUUCUUGCAACAAAACAAAAUAAAAAAUAUGUGUAAUGUUUUAACGUUAGAUGACAUGCAUGCAUCCUUACCUGAUUCGAAAUAUAGGUCCCCCCCUUUGAUGAUCCAUCGUCAUAGGGUGCCUUUGUUUGCAUUCCAAAGCUUUAUUGGUUCUUUCGAUGCAUUGGCUCAUUCAUGUGCUAGCCAUCCACUCAGUUGUAAGUGUAGUGCCCAUCCUGGGCUGUCCACGACGAUUACUGCUCUCAGUUGUUCUCAAGCUUGACCAUGCUUCCAAGUGUGGUGUUGCUCGAUUCAUCGUGAAGGAGUUGAACAAAUCAUCCAUCUCCUAGAUUCUCUCAAGAAUUGUCCUUUGAUUUGGUGCGUGUGUUUUGCCAACACCCCUCAAGAGGUUUUCUGGUGUUUAACCUCCUUUUAGAUUGUCAAUCAGUCAUGAACUUGCCCCUAGUUGAAACAAUACUCUUCAAGUAUAUGUUAUCAUCAGUCUUCAUUGAAACUAUCCAAUCAUCCAGACAUGCAUCUCAUAGCUUGCAGUGAAAGACUCAUCGUUGUAUGCUCAAUGUUCUUUCUCAUGGAUUCCUCUCAGCUUGUCAAAUCAGAUAGUGGAAAGAAAUGUCUCGACAUCAUCAAUGAUGUUCAUGUUAUCACCCAUAUUCAUACGGUGAAGUGCGCAUUUGAGCUUCAGAAUAGAUGGUCCCACAGUCAAUCUUGGUGGUGUGCAUCUUUCUGACAUUCUUUCCAAUGCAACGAUGCGAUAACAUUUGUCAUAUGAAGAUACGAGGUUGUCCCUCAAUUGCAGCGUUGUUUUCAAUUGCUGCUAGAGUUCACUAGAUCAUGGAAUGUUUUUGAACAACAUUGCCCCCAAUAAUGAUCUGAAUGCUUGUUCUGCUGAUUAGCUUUCUUUAAACACCAUUGUCCUUAGUGCAUUGAUUCAUCAUUUGAUCAUCUUUCUUUGCCCCCAGCUGAUCUGAAUGCCUUUUGUUUUCCUUCUCAAGGUCCACUGUAUUGCCCCUAGGUGGUCAACUUUUCAAGGAGUGUCAAGAAGUGUUGAUGUCAUUCUUGUCAAGGAUUUUGCAAACUCGGUCGAUAUUCUUCUGUUUAACAAUCUUUCUUAUUCUGGAAUCAACUCUCAUAUUUCAAAGAUCAUGUCUAUUCAAAGUCUAGUUUGUUGAAAUGAAAUCAGAGAUGUCUUUUUUUGAAAAGACCUUUUGAAAAUCAAGCUUUUUUUCAAAGAUCCAACACGUUAUUCGAAAUAUACAGUCCUUUGAUUGUCAUGUAUUUUGAAAACAGAAAUUAACCCGUUGUAAGACUAAAAUGGUUUUUUUUUUCAUGGUUCUUUGUAUCCAUUUUAGACUCUGAUUUCGGGUAUAUCUUUUGAUGGUCUAUGAUGAGGUGACCUUCUGUGAAUUUCAGAAAACAAAAGGCCCUAGUCAAAACUUGAGGAUUCAUCAAGAAAGAUUGUUUUCUUUUUUUUUAGCAUCACUUCUAUCAGCAUGCAUAAUAACUCGUAGCUUGAUUCAUGAAGUCACAACCCUUAUGGAAAAGCUCUUCAAGUUUUGAGAGCGCCAUUUAUCGGUUCAAAUUGCUUACUUGAUCAAAAAGGGCUUUUAAAAGCACGUAAUGCAGGCUAUGGUUCAUGGCUAUGAAAGAAAGGAUUUCACAAGUUCAAAAGGUGUUUGAGGGUUUCAAAGACCUAGGAUCAACAUUAACUAUUCAUCAACUCUCUUUCUUGUUGUCAUUGUGGAGAAAGUGACAUAUAACCUUGUUAAUCUCAAAGAUCAGAAUUCUCUUAACAUAGGUCAUAAUGUAAAUCCAACUUUUUCUAUGAUGAAUAAUCAAUCUAAAAAAUUUUUAAGACACUAAAGGCUUUAUCCUAGACACACCAAAAGACAUGAAACUUGAUUUUUUUAGUGUUGACUUUUGGCAUUUGUUGUGUCUUUCUUCAAUUGAAACCUCUUUUGCCACUCUUAGAAUUGAUAGGCAUUCUCCUUCCUCUAUCUUUGACUUGCCUUUAAGUGAAGGCAAUUUCAUCAUCUUCUUUUUUCAAUCUUUUUUUUUUUUGCUUUCUCACAGCCUUCCUCAAAGUUUUCUUGGAUGGCCCUCAAUCUAUGGCUUUUAUUCUUCUAGCCCUUUCUCAAUCAUUUGACUUUUGUUCUAAGCCUUUUUUUUAUCCAUUAGUCCAAUCAGUGUCUUCAAAAUAUCUAUCAUUUUCCCCCAAUGUAGGGUGUGAUCCUAGUCAGGGUUUCUUUUUGAAAGAAAAUACUUUACCAGGCUCAAAAUGGGACUGCAAGGGAUAAUAUUUCAAGAAAUGUGAAAGGAUAACAAAGAUGGCCUUUUCUCAUUUCAAGCAAGGUCGGUUAGAACCGAUAAAUUUUGACCUCAUCCAGUGUAAUGAUUGGGACUUGUAAGAGUCAAUGAUUCAUGAGUCCAUAACUACUGAAUCCACUACAUGUCAUUAUGCAUACUGUUAAAAUUUAGCUACAUGAUGUGUGGUUCAGUUUCAGGAGGUAUGAGUUCAAAAAGUGUUUGGUCACCUCAUGUCAUUUUCAAGCAUCGAGUCAUUUCUGCAAUCAAAAUACUUUUAAUCUUCAGGAUUAAUUAGCUUUAGUUUUGUAUGUUGGAGUUUGAUCAAAAUAUUUUGUAAAAAUACCCUUUGAAAGAAGCAUCUCUUGAUUUCAAAACAACAGGAAGACAAAGGAAAGCCAUGUUUCGUUCAAGGAUGAGAUGUGACCCCAAAACAAAAUGCAAGAUGGCAAAAUCCAUAACAAAAAUGAUUGACAGUUUAACCCCUUCUUAGAUCAGCCUCUUUGGCAAUAUCUCUAUUUUGCCAAGCAAUUCCGAUCACUCGUCAUUCUGAGGAUGUUCUGGCGACAAAAUGAUCGAUGACAAGCUCCUUCAUAGAUUCCUCUCGUCUUUUGCUCACCAACUUCCGGACUCGAUUCUUGCAAUUGUUCAAUUGAAAUAGCUGAGGACCCCACCAUGACAUCACAUCUCUUGUCUGGAUCAUACCACCUAGAAAACGGUGGUUGCAUGGGAUCUGUCAGAGUCAGGCAAAAGUCUGGAAUCUGGCAGAUGCUGGUAAAUAAACCCACAUGGCAAAGGAAUGUCUAUCUUUGGCAAAGACAUUGGAGUAGUUGAUGCUUGAGCGAGACUUGACUAGGCAAAAUAACUGAGGUUUCUCAAUUGAGAGUCAUCUUCUGAUUCAACUCUCUUCACAGUUUUGGAAUCCGUGGCAAAACCUUCAAUCCUUCACUUCUUCAUAGCUCGCUCAAUUCUUUCGAUGAUCUUCACAACAUCAUGUCAUUCUUCCAAUGUUGUUGUGGUUGGUUGAGGGUUGUUGGAAAACUUCCACCAGCUAGGUAAUCUUGGCAGCGCCUAGAAACUUGUAGCAUUGUCACUGUCAAUGUGUGAAAUGAUGCAUUGUUUUUAUUGGAGGAGAAACUGCUGAAUAUUAAACUCCUUUGUCUCCUCUUCGAUCCCUCACUGACAGUGCAGCAAACAAACACCUAUAGAGGGAGCUCUGCUCUGUUGAAGUUUCAAACUUCUUCCUAUUUUUCAGCCGAGGUCUGUCUCUUUUCCCUACUUCCGCGUUUUAAUGCUGACACUGGUAGGAGAAACUUGUAGGUGAUCUGAAACUACUUCAUUCCUUCUUGGAUUCUCCACUUGCAGAGCAACAAACAGAUUUCUGUGGAGAGAGCUCUUUGCACGAUGAAGUUCUAUAUCUGCUCCUGUUUUCUAGCUCAGGUCUGGCUUUUCUGCCUACUACAGUGUUUCGGUGCUGAAACUGGUGGGGUAAAUUUUCAUAUCAUCUGAAACAUUUACAUCCCCUCUUGCAUUCCCCACUUGCAGAGCCACAAACGAGUUUUUAUAGAGAGAGCUCUGCCUCGUCAAAGUUCGAUGACUGUUCAUGUUUUCAGACUAGGUCUGACUCUUCGGCCUACUCCAGUGUUUCAGUGCUGAAACUGAUGAGACAAAUUUUUGUAGCGUAUGAAAGUACUGCAUCCCCUCUUGCAUUCCCCACUUGCAGAUCCACAAACAAAUCUCUACAGAGAGAGCUCUGCCACGUCAAAGUUCAGUGUCUAAUCAUGUUAAACUGGAAUUGAGCUCACAGUGGGGGUAACUUCAGAUAAGGCUAAUGCACCAUGCACAGAAGGCUAGCAGUUAUUUGGUGCCAUUUAGAAGAUAUGGAGGUGAUGAACAAUUAACAGGGCAACUGACCAAGAACAAAAGUUGUCAUUAGUUGAUGACUGAAGGCAUUGCUGCGGUUAUUCAUGACUGAAAAGAAGAGGUGCAACUUCCAUCAGACGUGGACAAACAGUGUUCCCACAGAAGAUCAUGCAGACAUUCUCUUUCCAUUUGAUGUUCAACACUUGUUCAGGGAGAUCUGAGUCUAGCUACUUCACCUUUGAUGCUCUCAACUUUCCUUUGACAAUGAGCUUCUCUUUGACCCCUUUCUUCAUUUCCCAUCAUCUUUGUUCAAUCAGGUGUAGCAAAGCUCGGAUGGGGGAACCUAUUUUUCCUCCCGGUACAUGCAUGAUAAAUGUAUGAACAUGUAAACUAUAUGAUGAACUCGCCCUUCGAGGGGUGACAUAUGGUCGUAACUCUUGUAUGAUGAAACAAGAAUCUUGAUUCUUGCCCAAACUCUACAAUGAAAAUUUUCUGAGUGACGGCCAUUGUGUCACCCACAAGUCUUGAGUUCAAGAUGCUUCAAGAAGGGUUUGCUCUGAUGCAAAUAACGAUAGCACAUACAACCUAAGGACAUGUUCUAUUCAUUAUGUGAACAUGGGUAGGUUUUCUACCUGGUCUCAAACGGGUCUCAUAUCUGCCCAGUGAUGUUCUUCGUAAAGACAGUAUAGGGGCGUUGCAGGAAAUGGUUAAGGUACGUAUACCCACCAUUACCAAGCAGGCACUCAGAUAUGAGUUUGGUUUUUCACGCAUCUGAACCCUGACCAAUAGUCAUAAGGCAGAUCGCUAAUUCACCACCUAGCUUAGAAGCUUGUGUGUGCUUUCAAAAAUAAAUACAGGUGAUGCAUGAAACGAUUCUAAAAAUGCAUGGAUAAAAUAAAAAUAAAACAAUAUAAAACUGCAAAAACUAAUACAUCAAAUACACAAAGCUUAGUCCAAUAUUGUUAGAAACAGUACCUUCCCCAGUGGAGUCGCCAUUCUGUCGCACGUCUAAAAAUCCGCGCGGCGUCGGCUUGGCAAUUUUUCUGUUAUGCGUUGAUUUGAUUGGUUCGUUGGAGUCGCCACCUAGUAUUUAAUUAAAGGUUCCUAGAAAACCUGGAUAUACUGGUCUUGUUAGAGAUUCGCGGGUAAGGGACUGGUUGUGGUUAGGAAAGGUAUUAGCACCCCUAACACACCCUACCUGAGGUAAGCUGCUUCGUGACUUUGAUGUGUUAAAGAAGUUUUAAUAAUUGUCUUUUCAUCGGAUAUUAGAAAUACAACUUACAUGUAAGUUAAUAAUUCUUAACCGUGAUCCAAUCAAAAUAUUAAAUUCUUCUUUAAUCUUUGCAAUUUUAUCUUGAAUAAAAAUAAAACAUCCAUAAAACAAAUACAAACACACACAUUCACUUUCACUAUAUUUUCUUUUCUUUCUCUUUUUUCUUUUUCUUUUCUUUUUUAUCUCCAUAUUACAAAUUAUAAAAAUUCAAAACUAAACAAAAAAACAUUAAACAAUUUAAAAUUACAAAAAUUAGCCUCAAAAUAAUCUGAGAUUACAGGGAUUGCCAUCUGCCAACCGGAACAGUGUUCAGCAGGGUUUAUGGGCGCGGAAACAGUGGUUCGUGUGGCCACUUACGGCGCGUGGGUCAAACCAGAACAAACUAGUGGAUCCGACUCGACUUCAUCUCCUCUUCCCUCCUACACUGGCAGUGAGGAGCAACAUCACCUGCAAAGAAGAAAAAGAUGCAAUCCAGUUGGUUUUAGCUUUUCUUCUUGGUCACGGAUCUACUUUUUUUUUCUCUGUUUUGGAUCUGCUUUGUUCUUGGUUUCGCCUUCUUCUCUGCUUCGUUGUUCUCUGCUGGUUGCAGCUCCGGCCGUCGAUUCUCGGUUGGAAAUGGGGCCGCUUCUGUGGGCGCCGCUGGAGGAAGAAGGACUGCUGUUGGCCGGUGAAGAAGCUGGAAGGCGGAGGCUUGCUUCUGUGGAGGCUGUCGCUGCUGAGGAGAUGAUGGGGACGGCUCUGUGGUGGAGGAACUCGGCUGCUGUUAUGGGGUUCUCCAGGUGUGGCUGGCGGCUGGAAGGGAAAUGGGGCUGCUGUGAUUUGGCCGGGGUGGGAGGCCGAUGGAAGGGAACAGCUGGGAUGGAGAGGGACGUCACUGCUGCUGUUCAGCCGCUGCUGGGGCCGAAUGGAGGAGAGACCUGGCGAUGGAAAUGAGAGAGUGAGGGGAUCCUGUUCUGUCAAAGAGAGGGGCGAGUGAAAGGGAGAUGGGGGAAUGCAGAGGAGGCUGCUCUGGUUUGGGAAAAGAAGCUGGAAAUGAGGGCUGUCUGUUGAUGACCGGGCUGUGGGAGAAGGAAGGAAAAUGAGUGCUGGUCUUGGGAGAUGUGGAAACGGUGGGUGUUGUCUGUGAAGGGGAGGCUGGUCUGGGUGUGUGGGGGCUGUGGCUGAGGGGAAGGAACGGUGAUCAAGGGGGAGGGGGCUGGACUAUGGCCGGCUGUCACUGGUUGAGGGAGAAGAGAAAAAUCAGCAAAAAGGGGUAGGGGGGCUGGCGGCUGCUGUUUUGGGUGAGGGAGAUGAGAGUUAAGUUUUUUAGGGUUUUCCCCCUUUUGUAUUGCCUCCCCCCAAAUUGUAAAAUGCCCCCCCUCUUUAAAAAAUCAGUGUAGCUUGGUAUUUAUAGGAAAAGUUUUGCUAGGUUUUCAAACUAGUCCCUCAACUUUUCCUUUCCUUCUCUUUCC
This 12352-nucleotide long non-coding RNA is filed under the name Populus trichocarpa (black cottonwood). RNAcentral describes it as "long non-coding RNA (PTRI_LNC002840)". Lineage: Eukaryota; Viridiplantae; Streptophyta; Magnoliopsida; Malpighiales; Salicaceae. The record is from RNAcentral.